RNAcentral lists this ribosomal RNA (977 nucleotides) under Psychrobacter sp. enrichment culture clone HY3. RNAcentral's name for it is "bacterial SSU rRNA". It matches the Rfam family "Bacterial small subunit ribosomal RNA", at positions 60 to 1030 of the family's 1533-position model. The record is from RNAcentral. Lineage: Bacteria; Pseudomonadati; Pseudomonadota; Gammaproteobacteria; Moraxellales; Moraxellaceae.
AGUCGAGCGGAAACGAUGGUAGCUUGCUACCAGGCGUCGAGCGGCGGACGGGUGAGUAAUACUUAGGAAUCUACCUAGUAGUGGGGGAUAGCUCGGGGAAACUCGAAUUAAUACCGCAUACGACCUACGGGAGAAAGGGGGCAGUUUACUGCUCUCGCUAUUAGAUGAGCCUAAGUCGGAUUAGCUAGAUGGUGGGGUAAAGGCCUACCAUGGCGACGAUCUGUAGCUGGUCUGAGAGGAUGAUCAGCCACACCGGGACUGAGACACGGCCCGGACUCCUACGGGAGGCAGCAGUGGGGAAUAUUGGACAAUGGGGGAAACCCUGAUCCAGCCAUGCCGCGUGUGUGAAGAAGGCCUUUUGGUUGUAAAGCACUUUAAGCAGUGAAGAAGACUCCGUGGUUAAUACCCACGGACGAUGACAUUAGCUGCAGAAUAAGCACCGGCUAACUCUGUGCCAGCAGCCGCGGUAAUACAGAGGGUGCAAGCGUUAAUCGGAAUUACUGGGCGUAAAGGGAGCGUAGGUGGCUCGAUAAGUCAGAUGUGAAAUCCCCGGGCUCAACCUGGGAACUGCAUCUGAUACUGUUGAGCUAGAGUAUGUGAGAGGAAGGUAGAAUUCCAGGUGUAGCGGUGAAAUGCGUAGAGAUCUGGAGGAAUACCGAUGGCGAAGGCAGCCUUCUGGCAUAAUACUGACACUGAGGCUCGAAAGCGUGGGUAGCAAACAGGAUUAGAUACCCUGGUAGUCCACGCCGUAAACGAUGUCUACUAGUCGUUGGGUCCCUUGAGGACUUAGUGACGCAGCUAACGCAAUAAGUAGACCGCCUGGGGAGUACGGCCGCAAGGUUAAAACUCAAAUGAAUUGACGGGGGCCCGCACAAGCGGUGGAGCAUGUGGUUUAAUUCGAUGCAACGCGAAGAACCUUACCUGGUCUUGACAUAUCUAGAAUCCUGCAGAGAUGCGGGAGUGCCUUCGGGAAUUAG